UUAAAUCGAAAACAUAACUGUAAAACAAGACUCCCCCCGGAUUGAUGUUAGUAUGGACGGUACCCGAGGAUUCGGCUAGCCGUGGAGUGUGAUUGAUUGGUGGUGGGGGAGUUAAAACUUUACUUUUCUGUUUGGGAACCCCCUAUAGCAUGAGUAGCAUGGAAGAUAUUGAGAACUCUUGGUCAUUGCGUUGACAAUGAAAGCAUGCCACCAAAAAUUAUUAUCUCCGUUUUCAAAGCUUGAGCUCUGGCACCUCUGCAAAUCAAUGCUUCCCUCUGCGAAGGGCCUGUCUAUUUAUUUUCCUGU
RNAcentral lists this long non-coding RNA (306 nucleotides) under Hordeum vulgare. RNAcentral's name for it is "long non-coding RNA (HVUL_LNC019951)". The record is from RNAcentral. Lineage: Eukaryota; Viridiplantae; Streptophyta; Magnoliopsida; Poales; Poaceae.